GGAGGAGCCCGACAGCGGCGGCUGCAACACCCCCGAGCCCGAGGAGGGGGCUGAGGGCCGCGCCCCCCCCCGGCCGAAGGAGCCGCCAGGUGAGAGCGACUUUGAGACCAUCAAACUGAUCAGCAACGGAGCCUACGGGGUGGUGUACCUGGUGUGGCACAUGGCCAUGUGACAGGGC
This is a long non-coding RNA of Neopelma chrysocephalum (saffron-crested tyrant-manakin), 178 nucleotides long. RefSeq lists it as uncharacterized. The record is from RefSeq and is a predicted model, not a curated record. The transcript has 3 exons. Lineage: Eukaryota; Metazoa; Chordata; Aves; Passeriformes; Pipridae.